Molecule: ribosomal RNA, 243 nt
Filed under: uncultured Ureaplasma sp.
Lineage: Bacteria; Bacillati; Mycoplasmatota; Mycoplasmoidales; Mycoplasmoidaceae
Description: partial 16S ribosomal RNA
Rfam family: Bacterial small subunit ribosomal RNA
Source: RNAcentral
UCUGCCCUUAAGUUGGGGGAUAACUAGUCGAAAGAUUAGCUAAUACCGAAUAAUAACAUCAAUAUCGCAUGAGAAGAUGUAGAAAGUCGCUCUUUGUGGCGACGCUUUUGGAUGAGGGUGCGACGUAUCAGAUAGUUGGUGAGGUAAUGGCUCACCAAGUCAAUGACGCGUAGCUGUACUGAGAGGUAGAACAGCCACAAUGGGACUGAGACACGGCCCAUACUCCUACGGGAGGCAGCAGGU